Molecule: long non-coding RNA, 8741 nt
Filed under: Equus asinus (donkey)
Lineage: Eukaryota; Metazoa; Chordata; Mammalia; Perissodactyla; Equidae
Description: lncRNA (ENSEASG00005033243.1)
Source: RNAcentral
CGAGUUGGUUCUCAAAAGUUUAUUUCUCACUGUUGGAGGUGACUGCAGGGUGGCUGCGGCUCUGCUCUGUGUGUCUUCUUCAUUCCAAGAUCCGAGCUGAAGGGACAUGCUGUUCUUACGGCAGAGGGGGAAAAAAGACAAUGCUGAAAUUUGCAAUGGCUCUUAACGUUUCUGCUUGAACUUGGUCUAAAUCACUCCCACUUAGGACCCGCUGGCCAGAGCAAGUCACAUGCCCAAGUCUGACGGUGCUAAUCUGGGGAAGUACACUUCUUCUCCAGGAAAACAAUGCAAGUCGUAGGGCAAAGGUUAGGAAUGUGGAAUUCUCUUACUAGGAGGAGGAAUGAAGAACUAUGUAUAUGUACAUACACAAUAAUGCAACUCAGGACACUGCUCGUGUAUGAGCCGGCUCCGCCUGCCGAAAGAGCACAGCUGGAGGAGUGUCCAGCUCUCCCCCAACCUGAGUCGCAGCAGGUGCUGGUCUCCUGAAGGGAAGCAGCUGAGGCUCUCUGGGGAAAAUGCUGGCCUCAUGGGAGAAGAAGAUCUGGAAGAGAACCCAGCAUGGAACAUGACAGGACACUCACUUCAUGUUCCGGGCCCCUCUAGAGUGUCUUCCACUUGCCCGUGACCUUCCUACAGGAAUCUGUGGGAGUUGGCACCCAGCUGCAAUGCUGUGCCCUGUGAGCCCACUCCUCGGCCAUGUUUGACUGGGCCAAGGGACGGCCCCUAACCCACGCUGGUCCAACCAGGUCCUACCUGUGCUAAUGUGCAAUCCAGAGAGAGGGAGGCAGAAGGGCAGUCUCUCCUAUGGUUGGCAUGAUAACAUGUGAACCUGGAAGCUGUGGGAGGCUGCCAUUCCUCCAACUGUUUGCACUGAGCAGCUGAGAAAGUCAGUCUUCAGAGAAAAAAGACAGAGGCAGCCCAGCAGCCAAGUCGAGACAAGGGGAGAGAAGGAGAAGCAACACUCCCCGAGCCCUGUGCUGCCUCCCUCUCCGGGCUCUUGUCAUUUCUGGGACCCUGCCCAGUGCUCACACGUGAGCUUGGGUUCCCCGAAUGACCCCUGCAUCUUACGACGACUUUCUCUCUUUAGGUGAAGUGAGAUUCAGUUCGUUUCUGUUGCUUGCAACCAAAGAACUUUGAGCAUUUCAGACUCGCCGUUCUGAGCCUUAGUUUGAUCAGCUGAAAAAUCAAGGUAGCGAUGCUGAGUCACAGGAUUGCUGAAAGAAUCAAAUGGACAUAAAAAUGCGAUAAAAUGGGAAAUAUUAUUACAGGAGAGAGACACCACGGAAGGAGCAAAAUGGCUUAGAAGUUUUGCUCUGAAUUUUUGAAAAAUUGGUUAACUAAUAAGAAAAUGGUAGAAGCCAACAAGAAAUAAUCAGAAUAUGUCAGACACUGUUCUAAGUAUUUUACACAUAUGAACUCCUUCAAUUUUCACAACAGCCUUAUUUUGUACAGGUUCCGCCAUUUUGCAGAUGAGGAAAGUAAGACAUAGGAGAAGUCUUAAAAACUAGCCAAGGUCACAUAUACUGGGCGACAAAGUAACGCUCUUGGCUUUCAUAUUUGUUUCCUCAUCCAUAAAACGGCACAAAUGUAGGUACCCCAGGGUGGUAUUUUUAAAAUUAAUUAAAAAGUCUUCACAAUGCAUAUGACACAGUAAAAACUAACUUUUAAAUUGCUUUCACCUCACACCUAUCAUGAAAAUGGCUAUUAUCAAAAGGACAAAAGAAAAUAAUAAAUGCUAGCAUGGAUGUGGAGCUGUGCACUGCUGGGGGAAUGUAAACUGGCGCGGCCAUUAUGGAAAGCAGUAUGGAGCUUCCUCAAAAACUGAAAAAAAGGAACUACUAUGUCAUCCAGCAAUUCUACUUCUGGGUAUUUAUCCAAAGAAAAUGAAAGCAUUAACUCAAAAAGAUACAUGCGCCCAUGUUCACUGCAGCAUUAUUUACAAUAGCUGAGAUAUGGAGAUGACCUAAGUGUCUACCAAUGGGCGAAUGGAUAAAGAACAUGUUUUGUAUAUAUAUAUUUUACAUAUAUAUACAUAUAUAUAUAAUUGUGUUACGUAUAUAUAUAGUGGAACAUCGUUCAGCCAUAAAAAAGAAUGAGGUCUUGCCAUUUGUGACAAUAUGGAUGGACCUUGUGGAUAUUAUGCUAAGUGAAAUAAGUCAGACAGAGAAAGACAAAUACCAUGUGAUCUCAGUUAGAUGUGGAAUCUAAAAACAAACAAACAAAAACCAAGCUCAUAGAUACAGAGAAGAGACUGGUGAUUACCAGAAGAUGGGGGUGGGUGAAAUGGGUGGAGGAAAUCAAAAGGUACAAAAUUCCAGUUACAAAAUACCCUCGUCAUGGGUAUGUAACGCACAGUUUGGCAACUAUGGCUAAUAAUGCUAUAUUGCAUAUUUGAAAGUUGCUAAGGGAGCGGAUUUUAAAAGUUCUCAUCACACAAAAAAAAUUCUGUAACUAUGUAUGGUGAUAUUAACUGGACUUAUUGGGGUGAUCAUUUUGCAAUAUAUAUAAAUAUCGAAUCAUGGUAUUGCACACUUGAAACUAAUAUAAUAUUGUUUGUCAAAUAUACCUUAAUAAAAAUAUCUCUUUCAUUAGAAUACUCAUCAUAAAUCUGUUUCCUAAUUGCACUGCAAGUGAAGAAAAUAAGACAUGGACCUAUGAAGAGGGAAAUUUCAAAUAAAUAAAUUCUGUUUACACAGCAAAAGAUGGGCUUAUCAAACUCAUGGGAAGUAAGCUUAAAAAUCUGUAGCACUUAUAAUGCCACUUGGCCUAAGGCAGCCUCAGACAAGCAGUUGUCAAGCCCUCGCUUAGUGGGAGGAUGGAGAUACCCAUACUCUUCAGUGCCUCUUGACAGCGUAAACUUUUUUAGCUUCUCCGCUCUGAGAACGGCAUGUCUCAAUUGGCUAUGAAGAGUGAGAAGGCAAGGAAACUGAGAAGGGUGGUGUGGUGCUGUAUCUUGGGGUUCUGCAGGCAUCAUCUCAUGUUACAGAUAGAAAAUGGGAGCUCCAGGAGGUAAAGAACAUGGCUUCAGCCCAACAAGCAGGAGUUGGAGGGUUGGAUUGCAACACGAGUCUCUCUGACCCCAAAGUCUCAGCUUUCUUCCCCGCACCUGGAGAUGCCUCAUCACGUCGGAUGCCCAUCGCUGCUUCACACGUUACCCAAAGCCAAUAAUGUGAAACAGCAAUAAGCCUUUAUUAUCACCCGGCUUCUGCAGCUCAGGAAUUCAAGAGUGGCUCAGCUGAGUGGUUCUGGCUUGGGGUUUCUCAUGAGGUUACGGUCAAGGUAUCAGCCGGGUCUCCAGUUAUCUACAGGUUUGACUUGGGAAGGAGGAUCCACUUCUAAUCGCCAUGGCUGGUAAUUUGGUUGUAGGAAGGAAGUCUCAGUUCCUCUCCAUGUAGGCCUCUCCAUAGGCUGGUUGAGUGUCCUCACAGCAUGGUGGCUGACUUCUCCCAGAGCAAGCAAUCCAAGAGAGAGGAGUGCCAAGGAAGCUAUCCUUUUUAUGACCUCCUCUCAGAAGUACAUAGAAGCACUUCACCAGGCUCAUUAAUUAGAAUAGGACUGACCUACAUUCGAGGGAGGGAAACGAGGCUUCGCCUUCUGAAGGGAGGAGGAUUAUGGAUGUAUUUCAAGACCACCGCACUUAGCAACAUGAGAAAGAAUUUACAGCUCUGGUGUGACUUGCCUACCUUCUGCUUAAAAUGAAUCAGAGGGCUUCCAGCACCUCUCAGGUUAAAGAUCACAGUCCUCACUGUGACCAGCAAGGCCAUGCACGCCCUACAGCUCUGCGUGUCCCCAGCCUCAAGCCAGGUCUUCCCCGUUUUAGCCACAUACCUGGACUGCUUCCAUUUCCUCACACUCCCUCUACCUGAAGGCCUCUGCAGAGAUGCUCUCUCGGCCCUCUGUGCCUUCCCAUAACCUCCUCUUGCCUUGCUAACGUUCGUUCCCUUAGCCUUCAGAUCCUGGUUCAAAGGUCGCCUCUUCACCAAACCAUCCCUGAUGUCCCAGACCAGAUCAGGUCCACUCAGAGGCUUUUAUGAACCUUUGAAUUCUUGAAUGAUACUUUUUCAUUUGCAAUUAUGUAUGGGUGUGAUCAGUGAGCUAUGUCUGUCUUCCCCACUAAUGUUCAGUCCAUAUUGAGAUGGCGCCUGUUUUUAUGUUCACCAUUGUAUCCCUAGUACGUUGCUCGGUGCCGAGCACACAGUGGGCACUCAGGGACAAAUGCAUUGAAUGAAGGAGCGCCCAGACAAUGCCCUUCUCGGAGCUGGAGGUGCAGGGCUGGGGGAGCACCUCUUUGUAAGUGUGCCUCAGUGCAGGUUCUGGCAUCAAGUCAGGGUUGACUUGGUGACUUUUAAGUUUCCUUUCCAUCAGGAGAGUCUGAGAUUCUGUGAGUCUGUGAUUCCAGGCAAGCAAACUGCCUCCUUAAGCAGCUUGCCGAUGGCCCAGGUCUUCUGGCUCCCAGGACACACCCUUUUAAGGGGCAGCCUGGUACAAACAUCAAGCACAAGGAAAGUCUAUGCUGGAAACUUCUGGGAGUUUCCAGCUGCCUGGGGCUUUAAGGGGCUCAAACGAUCGGGCCCUCCGUGGCUCCUUUAAGAAGUUUUACAAGGUUAAGUUUUGCUCUAAAAAUAAGCCCACAAGGCUUUUUGAAAAGUUUCAAAAACCAUAUGUCCAGCUGAGCCGUUUUUUGAAGGGCCAGUGAGCCUUUAAAAGCUUCAAAACCGCUCCUUGGCCUGCCCCCCACUGUGGAGAAAGCUCAACACGUGGAGCUUAGACCCGCUUCUAAGUCUUCUAGAAUCUACACUUGGAACAUUCUGCUUCCAUCAAAGGGGUUCAAGACGGAGAUGAGGGGCCGGCCAGGUGGCGCAGCGGUUAAGUCCGCACUUUCCACUUAGCCGCACGGGGUUCGCUGGUUCGGAUCCCGGGUGCGGACGUGGCACCGCUUGGCACGCCAUGCUGUGGCAGGCAUCCCACGUAUAAAGUAGAGGAAGAUGGGCACAAUGUUAGCUCAGGGCCAGGCUUCCUCAGCAAAAAAGAGGAGGACUGGCAGUAGUUAGCUGAGAGCUAAUCUUCCUCAAAAAAAAAAAAGACAGAGAUGAGUGCGUACGAACCCAAGGCCAGUUCUCUCCACAGCAAACAACCGCCCAAAUCACCAGGACACUGCAGCAAGUUGCCUACAGAGAGACCAGCUCAGCCUUCCCUGCUCCCCCUCCUCUCUCGUAGGUCUCUUCGCACUGCGCGCUGUGGGUUGUUCUUCCAGCGGGAAGGCCCGUGUGUAGCCCGGCCCCCGCAGGCCCAGGAGAUGCCCCAGAGACAGAGCCCCUCGGAUAUCUGGCAGCUAAUGAGGAAGUACAUUCAUUUACUAAAUUGUUCUCGCUCUCUCAUUUCUUUUCCUUUCGUCUUUUUGAAUAAAUAUUUAAGCCCUUAUUAUGUGCUGCAUAUCGAAUAUCCGUCUUUCAGGUGGGAAGGCAGGGGCAGAGGUUAGUGGAGAGCAGCAGAAAGGACAUCUUGACGAAUCAGAAAUGCAUUCUCCCCAAAGACGUUUUACAGUUUGUAGGGGAUUAAAGAGGAGUCCAGGCUACGAUACACCAGAUUUCAGGCUCCUUGAAUCCUUCAAGCUUCAGGAAGGAAUCCCUUAUUGACUCCUUUACAUAAAUGAGACUGAGACCAGAGAGGGUAGGAGAAUUGCUCACCAUCUGACAGGGCUUCAGCCACCCCACACGUGUCUUGCUGCUUCUCUAACAGAAUAAGCCAUAAACGGCUAUGAUGCCGGGGCACGGGGCUCCGGAGCAGUGUCAGUGUAACGUGAUACGAGAGUGCAGAAGAAAGAGAGGUCCCUUCCAGCUAAGAGGAUCAGAGAAGGUCCCGAUGUUGCUCCUUGCAGCCACAGUAAAGGGCAUUCUCUUUUCCCCAAACGAAGGAGCUCGACCUCAGUCUCUUUUCUGUGUAAGUGAAACACUUCCAGCUUCUGCACCAACGUCGAAGGCUAAACCCAAGAGAGGAGUGCCGCUGACUGCCGCUCGGAGCCACAGCAUCGCAGCGAGGGAAGGACCUACUCCUCCUCCUGUGACAUCCCGACAGGUGCUCACCCAGCUUGUGCUCACACAUCCUCAGUGGCAGGAAGCUCACUACCUCAUAAGGUGAGAAACUGAGGCUCCAGGAUGUGACAGAUCAGCAUUUCCCUGUUCAGGCAGAUAAGGAAUCAGUUUUCACAGGAAAAAAUUUGAAGACAUCACCAAAGCCUCAUGUGGUUAAAAACAGAAACGAGGGAGCUGAAGACACGAGCUACCUGGCUGAAGGUUGGCGAUGGGUGGAGGGCAGAGGAGAAGCAGGGCUUUCCACCUCCUGCCUGCUCGCAGCGGUCUGCAAAGCUCCUGAGUGAGGCUAGGUAGUUUCCAUUCGCCCCUGCAAAUCCACUUUCCACCUGGGUCUCUGUGGGCCCGGGAGCCUGGUCUUUGUGGACCCCAUCAACCCUGCGGCUUCUACUUGGGUUCGGCCAACGGGAAGCACCCUCCAGAGAUGCGAGGGCAAAAGAGCGGUCAGGGUCUUUGUUCCCUGCUCCCUCCUUCGAGGCCACAGGUUGGCAGUGGGUGUUCCUCCACCAAAGGUCUCAAUUCUCAUCAGACAGCUUUCUGCUUAAGCCACAGCACAGCUCUGGCUCUCUCUAAGGACACUGUUACCAGUCCCUACCAUCCCCUGUUUGUGUCCCUUAACUCCAUUUGCACCUUUGUUAAUAGUCCCUUCAUUAAACUCGUCUCAACACCCCACUGGAGCGAGCCAUUUGUUUCCUGUUUGGACCCAGAGUAAUUCAGUACUAGAACCGUAGGUCAGGAAGGCAUGGCAAAAGUCUUCUGCUCCUGCAGUUUUCAAAUUUUUACUUUUACCUGAAGAGAUCCAGUAAGAAUCAUGAUUGUAAAAGUAAUGAAGUUCGAGAAGCCCGUGGAACCCUGCCUGCUCAGCCUGCCACCCAAAGCACUCCUCCUCUCUGCCUCCCCCAGCUGCUCCAUGAAUCCCAGGGCUGUGGGGAGCGCCCUCCCAAGCCUGCUGACCUGGUGCAAACCCCUCGCUCCCGCGGGAGAGCGGCAGGGGGCCAGGUCUCUACAGCGGCCGUUGUGGCCUGAGCAGGUCUGAUUUAUGCGCUGGGCCUUCAUCAACAGUCUGCCUCAAUCUCUUCCCAAGUGCAAAGCCCCGUAAAUCUUCGCCAGCCCAUGUUAUACAAACACGCAAAAAUAUCAUUAGGGAAACAAACAGCCCCACUGGCCUUGGCAGAGGCCUUUUCUGCCAGGCUCAAGUUACCUAAAAUCAAUAUUUGAACAAGGACAAAACCACAUGUUUCCAAAACCAAAUUAGAGGGUCUAACGGGAGGCCUGGGACGUGGUUACAUCACGCGCGCUCCUGCUGCCCCCCGCGCUGUUGGCGGGCCCCCACCCCUUGCAGUCCCUGGCCUUGCUUGCCCUGAGUGUCUGAACCCAUGAGACAGGUGACACCGAGGGACAGAAUAAGUGAGAAGUAGGAUCUUCUGCAGAGCUGGGGCUGGGACCCAAGUUUACCAGACAGGGGGAGUGGCUGUGUCCCGUCCUGCAGCCCCUAAGCCCUGGCUCCACAUCCGUAGUGGGCUCUGGGCUAAGGUCUGAGGGUCCGAGAGUGAGCCAAAUCGCAAGUGUCUGCUCUCAGGGAGCCCACACUACAGUGUGGAAGGAAGAGGAGACAGGAGGUCACUUCAGCGCAGAAGGACAAGCACAAGCCAUGUGGGUGAGUUCCGGGAGCUUUGCAGGCACACAGCAGGGUCGGUAACCCAGGGGUGAGGGGGCCUUUGGGGGACAGCUUCCAGCAGCAGAUGUGUAAAAGGUGCUCUGUCUAACCAGCUACUCCGGCUUUGUGUGUGCCUGGCCCAGGAAGGGAAGGGGGCCGAUGGGAGAAGAGGACCCCCAUGCCUCCCAGAAGGGAGGGGUGAGCAAGGAAGAACUCCAUUCUCCCCCAACACGAGCCUGAGCUGGCGGAGAGCUGGGGAGCAGGCGCGGAGCCUCGGCCUUUCCGGGCCUCUCUUUUUGGAACCAGCCCAGCCCAUCUGCAGCCCCUCUGCCCUCCCCUAUUCUCUGCUUGAGCGCAGGGGAAAAAUGGGCAGCGCUUCUGAGCCAGCUGUGUGGGAAAGUCCUCCUCCGAGGGCAGCAGUAAGGCCUUUGGCCUGCACCUCUGAAGCCACGUUCUUUCAGCAAAAAAGCCAGCACUUUGCUCUCCAACCGCCCCUUGAGCCCUCUGUCUCUACCGAGACGGGAGUCCUAGUCGUUGACUCCUCCCAAACAAAUACCGUGUGAUCCGGCUCCUGGGUGCUGCGAGUUGAAACUGUAGGAUACAAGGUUGUAUUUUUUUUAUACUGUGUUUAGAAAAAUAAAUAAAAUAAAAUAUGCCACUGUAUAAACAAUGGUUGUAUUUAUGUGUGGUGGUGAUACAAUUUUCCUCUUUUUUUUAAAGAUAUUUUCCAAUUUAUAAAAAAUGAGUAUAUGUUAUUUUUAAUCUGGGGGGGAAAGCAGCAGGUAAAUGCAAUGAAAUGGCCUUUCAAAUGUGAUAAAAAUGUAAGAAAAAUGUAAGAGAAAGUCAUAAAUCCUGAGAAAGACCUUGGGCCAGCAGGAGGAAGCAGUUAGAGGCAGUCGCCUGGUCACGACUGCAGGCAGGGCACAGCCCCGUUCCCUCUUACCUUCUUAACAACUUUGUGUCCAGCUGAGGUGCUGGAGUCAUCAGCCGCCUUA